GUGCUCGCUUUUGCAGCACAUAUACUAAAAUUGGAACAAUACAGAAAUUAGCAUGGCCCCUGUGCAAGGAUGAUACACAAAUUCGUAAAGCAUUCCACAUUUUU
This 104-nucleotide small nuclear RNA is filed under the name Propithecus coquereli (Coquerel's sifaka). Lineage: Eukaryota; Metazoa; Chordata; Mammalia; Primates; Indriidae. The record is from RNAcentral.